GAACACCUAAAACCAAAUGUAGCACCCCCUUUUAUAACAAACCAAGGCACACUAAAACAUCUCUUGGCGCUGACUCUUCUUACGUGGGGUUUGUUUUGGUUUCCAUGAAGAAUAAAUCCUCCAUGUAACUAAAUUGUGGCAUGGAAGAAGUUUAAUAGUAGGACUCUUCAUUCCUACAUUCAGAAGCCAAGGCACCAUCUGAAGGCAUGUACCAUAAG
This 218-nucleotide long non-coding RNA is filed under the name Elaeis guineensis (African oil palm). Its description in RNAcentral is "long non-coding RNA (EGUI_LNC046914)". Lineage: Eukaryota; Viridiplantae; Streptophyta; Magnoliopsida; Arecales; Arecaceae. The record is from RNAcentral.